This 155-nucleotide ribosomal RNA is filed under the name Ulva intestinalis (hollow green seaweed). RNAcentral's name for it is "5.8S ribosomal RNA". It matches the Rfam family "5.8S ribosomal RNA". From Rfam's summary of the family: 5.8S ribosomal RNA (5.8S rRNA) is a component of the large subunit of the eukaryotic ribosome. Lineage: Eukaryota; Viridiplantae; Chlorophyta; Ulvophyceae; Ulvales; Ulvaceae. The record is from RNAcentral. RNAcentral also lists the same sequence under 1 other name.
AACUCUCAACAACGGAUAUCUUGGCUCUCGCAACGAUGAAGAACGCAGCGAAAUGCGAUACGUAGUGUGAAUUGCAGAAUUCCGUGAGUCAUCGAAUCUUUGAACGCACAUUGCCGGUCGAGUCUUCGGAUGAGACCACAUCUGCCUCAGCGUCG